AGUCCAUCAGGCAGUGCUUUUGGCAGCCAAGAAAACCUGCGCUGGAGAAAAGACAUGACCCAUUGGCGUCAGACCAGCGAAAAGAUGGACAAGACCAGGGCUGAGCUGGAGCAUGAAGCAAUUAUUGAUGGCAACCUGGCAACUGAAGCUAAUCUCAUCAUAUUGGAUACACUAGAAAUAAUAGUUCAGACCGUGUCAGUGACUGAGUCCAAAGAAAGCAUUCUGGGAGGGGUUCUGAAAGUCCUGCUACAC
Sinocyclocheilus grahami is the source of this 252-nucleotide long non-coding RNA. RefSeq lists it as uncharacterized. The transcript is spliced from 3 exons. Lineage: Eukaryota; Metazoa; Chordata; Actinopteri; Cypriniformes; Cyprinidae. The record is from RefSeq and is a predicted model, not a curated record.